Molecule: transfer RNA, 75 nt
Filed under: Candidatus Saccharimonadota bacterium
Lineage: Bacteria; Candidatus Saccharimonadota
Also listed under: 2 other names
Description: tRNA-Asn
Rfam family: tRNA
About the family: Transfer RNA (tRNA) molecules are approximately 80 nucleotides in length.
Source: RNAcentral
UCCGGCGUAGCUCAGCGGUAGAGCAAUUGACUGUUAAUCAAUGGGUCACUGGUUCGAAUCCAGUCGCCGGAGCCA